CCUACGGGGGGCUGCAGUGGGGAAUAUUGCACAAUGGGCGCAAGCCUGAUGCAGCCAUGCCGCGUGUGUGAAGAAGGCCUUCGGGUUGUAAAGCACUUUCAGCGGGGAGGAAGGCGUUAAGGUUAAUAACCUUGUCGAUUGACGUUACCCGCAGAAGAAGCACCGGCUAACUCCGUGCCAGCAGCCGCGGUAAUACGGAGGGUGCAAGCGUUAAUCGGAAUUACUGGGCGUAAAGCGCACGCAGGCGGUCUGUCAAGUCGGAUGUGAAAUCCCCGGGCUCAACCUGGGAACUGCAUUCGAAACUGGCAGGCUAGUGUCUUGUAGAGGGGUGUAGAAUUCCAGGUGUAGCGGUGAAAUGCGUAGAGAUCUGGAGGAAUACCGGUGGCGAAGGCGGCCCCCUGGACAAAGACUGACGCUCAGGUGCGAAAGCGUGGGGAGCAAACAGGAUUAGAUACCCGGGUAGUC
RNAcentral lists this ribosomal RNA (465 nucleotides) under uncultured Klebsiella sp. RNAcentral describes it as "bacterial SSU rRNA". It matches the Rfam family "Bacterial small subunit ribosomal RNA", at positions 338 to 795 of the family's 1533-position model. The record is from RNAcentral. Lineage: Bacteria; Pseudomonadati; Pseudomonadota; Gammaproteobacteria; Enterobacterales; Enterobacteriaceae.